RNAcentral lists this transfer RNA (69 nucleotides) under Paroedura vazimba. Its description in RNAcentral is "tRNA-Ala". The record is from RNAcentral. Lineage: Eukaryota; Metazoa; Chordata; Lepidosauria; Squamata; Gekkonidae.
AAAGCCUUAGCUUAAAUUAAAGCGUCUGAGUUGCAGUUAGAUGAUGCAGGUAAAAGAUUUGCAGGUUUU